RNAcentral lists this long non-coding RNA (248 nucleotides) under Astyanax mexicanus (Mexican tetra). RNAcentral describes it as "lncRNA (ENSAMXG00005018649.1)". The stretch from base 1 to 46 matches the Rfam family "mir-9/mir-79 microRNA precursor family", at positions 17 to 62 of the family's 78-position model. Lineage: Eukaryota; Metazoa; Chordata; Actinopteri; Characiformes; Acestrorhamphidae. The record is from RNAcentral.
CUGUAUGAGUGUUUCUAUGCCGUCAUAAAGCUAGAUAACCGAAAGUAGGAACGGCCUCCUCUGCUGCAGGACAGCAGCACACGCGCACGUGCCCGGUGGAGCCCCUGUAAGAACACAGCUCCUCCCUGAUGCAGCGUCUCUGUGAGAGACCGGAGGACCAUUCACUGGAACAAAACCAUCUGUGACUGCCAGGCCAUUCACACUGUCUUGAUGGAGCACGACAGAAAAAAAAAAUGGCACAACCACCC